Long non-coding RNA from Acinonyx jubatus (cheetah), 451 nucleotides. RefSeq lists it as uncharacterized. The transcript has 2 exons. Lineage: Eukaryota; Metazoa; Chordata; Mammalia; Carnivora; Felidae. The record is from RefSeq and is a predicted model, not a curated record.
GCACUGCCGGGGGCUGUGGCCUCCAUCCCACCCAGAGUCCCCAACAGCCUCAGGACUCUAGAACCCAAAUAUAGUGCAGGGUUGUUGAAGUGAUAAAGAAACGAAAACGCAAGACUAUGGAAACCGAAGCUCAGCGGUGGAAAGGAUUUCCUGGGAAUACACACCAAAGUCUUAACAGGAUCGAGACAUGGCUUUGUGAUUGCCAUCUCUACACAGGACACAUGCACUUUAGCGGUGCAGGGUCCCCCGGAAAGUUAACUGCUUGUCCCUAUGACCCCAGGGGAGCCCGAGGCUCCCUCACGGGCUCCCACUUACUUGUCGGUGGAAGCAUGUACUGGGUUGUUAUUAAAGUAAUUUAUAGGCACGUCUCCUGAAGGACUUGUAUCCUCAGCAUUUGGCCCAGAGCCUGGCUCAGAACAGGCUUUUAGUAAAGGUUGGGUGAAAGAACAAA